UCAGCAUUCGUAUUAUUCUUUCUACAUAGUAUAUUCUUGUGCUCACUGCAAUAAGUUAUGAUUUUUAAUUUUAUAUCGACAUGAAAAACUUAUUUAAAAUAUUAAGCAGAAUGCUACGAUGGUACUUACUCAAUAAAAUCUUCAAUUUCUUCACAAUUAUUUAGAACGUAUAAGUGUGCUUUGGAUAGCUCAUUCACAUCUAUAAAUUUAUAUCUCUUUGCACCAAUAGGUCG
This 233-nucleotide long non-coding RNA is filed under the name Elaeis guineensis (African oil palm). RNAcentral describes it as "long non-coding RNA (EGUI_LNC072581)". The record is from RNAcentral. Lineage: Eukaryota; Viridiplantae; Streptophyta; Magnoliopsida; Arecales; Arecaceae.